Molecule: long non-coding RNA, 1502 nt
Organism: Gasterosteus aculeatus aculeatus (three-spined stickleback)
Lineage: Eukaryota; Metazoa; Chordata; Actinopteri; Perciformes; Gasterosteidae
Source: Ensembl
CUCCUGCCACAUUUCAUCACAUUGGUUGUGCCAAUGUUGUGAACGUAGUGCACUUAAAUAUAUACAUUAGGGGUGUUAAUAGUAAUCAAUUUUUUAAAUUCAUUAAUCACGAUUAAAAGUUUAUUUUUCUUCUAAAAUCUAAAUCUUACAAGUUAUGAGUAAUCACUUUAGAAAGUGUGUAUUUUAGACCCCGUUGUUUAAUUGUUAAUGUUAUUUUAAACACAAAACUACACACAUUUGAUCAACUUGGAGGCAGAAUUCCACCAAGUGGAACAUGUUGAACUAGCGACUCUUCCUGCCGGCCUCGUGCAAUUUCCUCUCAACUCUCUAUCAAUUGAUGGCUGUGUUUGAAGUGCCAACAAUGUCCCCACAUUUAGCCAGGACAUGUUCCAAACCAUUGUCUUUUAGGGACACAGUGAUGGUCCUCUUGAGACCGCGCAGGGUAGAUGUGGAGAUAGAAGUAGCCUAGCAACUAGCUUAGCCUAGCAGUGCUUCAAAGUGGUCCGUUUGCCACUCACCCCUCUUCAGUUUGAGGAGGAAUUCCUCUGUACAGUUCUCCAUUUUCAGUUACCAACUUGCUCUCUACCUUCUAACUGACUGCAGCUAGCGGCGGUUUUGUUUUCCGGGGUCAACUUUGUUUACUUCCGGCACACCGGAAGACUGGUCAAGUUAACAAAGUCGCGUUACCUGCAUUAAAAUAUUUGAUCACAUUAAUCUCAGGCACAUUAAUCGCAUAGAUUAGUGCGUUAAUGUUGACAUUCCUAAUAUAUAUGUUUUAGGUGCACUACGUUCAUCCUCACUUGUCAUAUUUAGGGAGUGAUUUUAAACAAGCUUAAGUUUUCUACUUCAGUAGAUUACUGAAAAUAUUCUAAAAAUGCUAGGAUUAUUGAUAUUGAUCAGUGGUUCUCAACUGGUCUGGCUCCAGGACCCACCAUCACCCCUUAAUUACAAGCCGCGACCCAAAUCGAGGAACAUUCUCAACUUCUCAAAUUUAUUUAAUAAAAUGAUGGUGCAGUUUGAACCUGAGAUAGUAUGGAGACAGAAUAAGUAUGCCAACACAAAAACAAGUUUAAUGAAAAAACAAAACAGCCAGCUGGUAGCGAUGCUAGAGAGGGAACUAUUCCCUUUUACAGUCAAUUAUCUAAAAACCCCAAAGUGUAUCUUAAGGACACGAGGUAUUACAACAUACAUAACAAUUAAGAAUCUUCAGCCAUUUCAACAACAAAAAAGGCGAAAAAAGACACAAAUUACUUAACUUCAACAGAUCUAUGACAAACACUAUGUCUCGAGGAGCAGCUUUUGCACAAAUUCAAAAUGAAUUAAAUAAACCUGGCACACGCUGCUGAAAACAUAGACGGACGAGCCGGCACAAAAAAGACGACACUCCGCUGCAUUAAAAAAAUCGCUCUUCAAAAUAGGCUUGUCGACAGUGCAGUCCGUCUUCCCUCUCGUUACACCAUCUUCACUGUCCAAGGAGCUGCACUCAAUUCUCCCCUUGAUUA